Molecule: ribosomal RNA, 409 nt
Filed under: Mandarina polita
Lineage: Eukaryota; Metazoa; Mollusca; Gastropoda; Stylommatophora; Camaenidae
Description: partial 16S ribosomal RNA
Source: RNAcentral
AGUUUUGAGCUAAAUAUAUUUAUAAUAUUAGUUAUUUAUGAAGGUGUUGUAAAACCUUUAUUUAAAAUUAUAUUUAGGGGUGAUAGGCCUUUCAAAAACUAAGAUAUCUUGAAUCUAAUUAAAAGUAUGUAGUACAAUUAACACAACUAUUAAGUGAUUAGGCUUUAUAGAAUUAUUAACCUAUAAGAUUUUAUUUACUAUAAUUUAAUAAUUAAGUACAUAAAUAUAUUAAUAUACAUAUAUUAUAGUUUAUAAAAGAGUGAUUAGAUAGAUUUAAGUUCAUAUUUCUUAUAAUAAUGUUAAUAUUAGUAUAAAGAUUAUAUUUAUAUGAUGAACUCGGCAAAAAUACUUCUCAACUGUUUAUCAAAAACAUAACUAUGUGAAUGAAUACAUAGCGGUUUCUGCUCAA